CGUGGCCCGGGCCAUACUCCCUUUUGAACCUCAGUUUUGUGCUUUAUGGUCCGGGGUUGGACUAGAUGCUCCCUGAGUUUUCAUUCACCUCUGGAAGUCAUUGGUUCUGUGACAUCAGAUGUUCUGGAGAACUCUGAGCUCAAGGCACUCAUGGGAAGGUAGUGUGGUAUAUGGGUUCAACCGGGGUGACAACUGUGUACCCCCUGGCAUGGUAUCCACCUGACUGCGACUCAGAUUGUCCCCACGUCAAAUAAGGACAACAUUCUCUACAAUCAGCGAGAGCCAGGCUCGGCCCGGUUAAAUGACGUACACGGACGGGGUAACCGGAGGGGACGAGGGCGAGUUCCGGACGCCCUUGACUUGACUCUAUGUUCUGACCGCGUGUGCUGCUGCUUGAUCUUAAUGAAGACAGUAUUUCCAUCGUCGGAAUGCAGUUCGGCAGGAGCCACAGAGCCACUGAUGCCUGGGCCCUUCGCGGAAAAACAAAAUGUGACGUUGGUCUCAACCUUUCUGUAACUCCAAAAGCCUGGGGGGAAAGAAAGGAGGCGACGACCCCAGCCAUCCCCAAGAAGUUAAGGUGGAGGUGAAAUGCAGAGCUUUCUGACAAAGUCCUUUAUGAGGAGAAUAAAGAAUUCUGCUGCCAAACAAGUUGAAGAGAUAGAAUUUGUUUAUCACGGUGGAGGCUUCAAGAUCACACGUCUCCAUUAGAGUCACGUGCGUCUUAAAUACCCACCAUUAUCAAGAGAAAAAUUAAGCCAAGUGUCUGAUAAGAAGAUGUGCUACACAGUCCAACAAUCUUCCGUGUUGUCAAGACGUCAGACGCAGGCAGCAAAAACAACUGAAUGAAAUAACUGAAUUCCCACCAUGGACGAAAGAGGGCUUCGAAGUUGGAGCAAAAGUAUUUGUGGAGUGCGGGGAGAACCCAGAGCUUCUGGUAUUUACGGC
Long non-coding RNA from Felis catus (domestic cat), 945 nucleotides. RefSeq lists it as uncharacterized. NCBI's taxonomy places the organism in Eukaryota, Metazoa, Chordata, Mammalia, Carnivora, Felidae. The transcript has 5 exons. The record is from RefSeq and is a predicted model, not a curated record.